GAUCAAAAUUAACAUCCGAUAAAAUUGGAACGAUACAGAAAAGAUUAGCAUGGCCCCUGCGCAAGGAUGACACUCACAAAAAGAGAUCAAAAUUGAACACUA
Molecule: small nuclear RNA, 102 nt
Organism: Rhododendron vialii
Lineage: Eukaryota; Viridiplantae; Streptophyta; Magnoliopsida; Ericales; Ericaceae
Source: RefSeq, a predicted model, not a curated record